GAUGAAGAACGCAGCGAAAUGCGAUACGUAAUGUGAAUUGCAGAAUUCAGUGAAUCAUCGAGUCUUUGAACGCACAUUGCGCCCGCUAGUAUUCUGGCGGGCAUGCCUGUCCGAGCGUCAUUUCAACCCAUCAAGCUUAGCGCUUGUGUUGGAGCCCUGCGGCCGCCGCAGCCUCCUAAAAUCAGUGGCGGGCUCGCUAUCACGCUGAGUGCAGUAGUAUUCUUCUCACUCCUGUGGUGUAGCGGGUAACCAGCCGUAAACCCCCCCAUCUAUAAAGGUUGACCUCGGAUCAGGUAGGAAUACCCGCUGAACUUAAGCAUAUCAAUAAGCGGAGGA
RNAcentral lists this unclassified non-coding RNA (336 nucleotides) under soil metagenome. Its description in RNAcentral is "partial contains 5.8S ribosomal RNA, internal transcribed spacer 2, and large subunit ribosomal RNA". The stretch from base 1 to 120 matches the Rfam family "5.8S ribosomal RNA", at positions 35 to 154 of the family's 154-position model. The record is from RNAcentral.